RNAcentral lists this ribosomal RNA (432 nucleotides) under uncultured bacterium. RNAcentral describes it as "partial 16S ribosomal RNA". It matches the Rfam family "Bacterial small subunit ribosomal RNA", at positions 29 to 506 of the family's 1533-position model. The record is from RNAcentral.
AACGAACGCUGGCGGCAUGCCUAACACAUGCAAGUCGAACGAGACCUUCGGGUCUAGUGGCGCACGGGUGCGUAACGCGUGGGAACCUGCCCUUAGGUUCGGAAUAACUCCCCGAAAGGGGUGCUAAUACCGGAUAAUGUCUUCGGACCAAAGAUUUAUCGCCUUUGGAUGGGCCCGCGUUGGAUUAGCUAGUUGGUAGGGUAAAAGCCUACCAAGGCGACGAUCCAUAGCUGGUCUGAGAGGAUGAUCAGCCACACUGGGACUGAGACACGGCCCAGACUCCUACGAGAGGCAGCAGUGGGGAAUAUUGGACAAUGGGCGAAAGCCUGAUCCAGCAAUGCCGCGUGAGUGAUGAAGGCCUUAGGGUUGUAAAGCUCUUUUACCCGGGAUGAUAAUGACAGUACCGGGAGAAUAAGCUCCGGCUAACUCCGU